Hypomesus transpacificus is the source of this 1848-nucleotide long non-coding RNA. RefSeq lists it as uncharacterized. The record is from RefSeq and is a predicted model, not a curated record. NCBI's taxonomy places the organism in Eukaryota, Metazoa, Chordata, Actinopteri, Osmeriformes, Osmeridae. The transcript has 2 exons.
AAAUCCAAGAUGGCAGCACCUCGUCUCAACAGUAAAGCUCUAAUUUGUCCUAUUUAUUUGAGCCAUUCUGUAUAUUUCUGACUCAUUAAAAUGGUCGUACACAGUACUGUCUAAGACACCACAUUGCAAAGGUGUUAGAAUUCAUGAAAUACCGCAAAAUGUCAGUUCCAACUGCCAGCACACUAUUGCUAUUUUAGCAAUCCCACAGUAGUUAGUUCCAGUACUAAAUGCCAGUUCAUUUCCAGUACCACCGACAUGAAGUUACAGCAGGCCUCCUGGUAAGCAUAAUGGUACAUGCACUACUCUGCUAUCUUAGGUUUAUCCAAAUCACCUGUAGCUACUCCCAGCUAGUACGCUACAUACCACCAACAGGAGCCCUGGCCUCCACAUGCAGAUGAUACCCCCAAGACCUGGGGGUCAUGGAUACCUGGGGGUCAUGGAUACCUGGGGGUCAUAGUUUUCCAGGCUGUGAUGUUCCCUGUCAGAUGCACCUAUCAACAUAACAAUCCAUGUUACACUUAACCCUAACCCAAUCCAUGCAACACUUUCGUGACCAAGACGCAUUGACUUUCCUGGUAAUGAGAAACGCACUCAGACGAGGAGACCACAGAUGUCCCAGAGAUUUGGGUGUUAGGUAUGUACCGUAGUUGGUAAAGAGGUCACUUUGAUAAAUGCAAAGUAGACAACUGUUUGUAACUUUAUUGCAUAAAACUGGUGUAAUAUUAUUGCAAUAAGCAGCAGUGUUUACAUAAUUAGUGUUUUCUUGACAAACCAUUCACCGGAAAAAAAAGACUCUCAUUUCUCCUAAUGUGAAACAUCACUGUAAAUGCGUCACAAAAUGACACAACCUGUGUUACAGGUACAAGCUACCAAGCAUCAUUCAGUGUUGUUUUGUUUUAACCGCAUCACACUUGUCAAUAAAGCCUUAAGUCUUAAUAAUGUUAAGUCAAGCUGCCAUGCACUUCAAUGUUAGUGUUAUUUGCCAAGCAGUAGCCGAUACGUGAUUCUAACGGUUUAGUAGGCCUGUCAUUUCUACAUAUACUUUUGCACUUUCAAAUAGUUAAAUGUUCAUAUAACAUGCUUCAAUAACAGCAUACAACCAGAUCAGGCAAAUGCAGAUGAGUCUAGGCAAGGUAUAUCACAACAACCAGAACCAACCACAUAGCCAGAGAAUAGCCUAUACUAGACAAGUAGUUAAGCUGCAGCACUAAUACUAAACCGCUAGCUCUACGACAAGACUGCCUGAAAGGGUGUUGAUCCUGUUGCUCUAUCAAUGCUACAAUAACCGGCAUAGGUUUAGUUCAGUUUGACACAAUCUGUAACAGUUACAAAUUAUUCUGAUCAAAAUUGAUUAUCUCUGUUAACUAAAUAGCUCGGGGAUUUGAUGUGGGCAGGGAAACAAAGGACAAAUGACAUAGUAAUGACAUAGUAAUGACAUAGUAAUGACAUAGUAAUGACAUAGUAAUGGGCUGCGGUUGCAGUGAUAUACAUGAAAAAAGGCUUAUUACAUUGAUAUUAUAAAAAAAAAAUUUGAAGUUGAUGACCAUAUCAACAAAAUAAGUAUAUUAACACACAGCAUUCAAAUGUUAGUCUCCAAAGACCUCGUUGUUGUCGAGGACCUCAAAAGGAAUUGACAUAAUAUAUACAGGCAUCUUUUCAUUAAAGCCAUUUAAUCAUGCGACUGUACAGAUCAUGUCGGCCUAUUCUCAUCACAGUCGUGUUUAAAGCUUCUUUGCUGGAGAGGAUUUGAAAAUGAAUAAUACGGCAUCAAUGCUGAGUUUAAUGUCAGGGUGCCUUUAAUUAGUUCCAAGCAGCCUCCUCCUCAGCUUUCUGACACUAGACGUCCAA